GGUAUCGUGGCCGAGUGGUUAAGGCGACAGACUUGAACGAAUGAGAUCUCCUCAUUUCUAGAUAUCUGUUGGGUUCGCCCGCGCAGGUUCGAACCCUGUCGAUGCCG
Non-coding RNA from Plectosphaerella plurivora, 107 nucleotides. The record is from the annotation of a GenBank genome assembly. Lineage: Eukaryota; Fungi; Ascomycota; Sordariomycetes; Glomerellales; Plectosphaerellaceae.